Molecule: non-coding RNA, 224 nt
Filed under: Enterococcus sp.
Lineage: Bacteria; Bacillati; Bacillota; Bacilli; Lactobacillales; Enterococcaceae
Description: T-box sequence
Rfam family: T-box leader
About the family: Uncharged tRNA acts as the effector for transcription antitermination of genes in the T-box leader family. T-boxes are found upstream of many aminoacyl-tRNA synthetase genes and some amino acid biosynthetic genes usually in Gram-positive bacteria. The anticodon of a specific tRNA base pairs to a specifier sequence within the T-box motif, and the NCCA acceptor tail of the tRNA base pairs to a conserved bulge in the T-box antiterminator hairpin.
Source: RNAcentral
UAAAAUACGAUGAAAAGAAGAGUACUAUUUUUAUAAAAUUGAUGAGAGAGUCUCGGUAGCUGAAAAGAGAUAAUUUUUGAAAAUAGGAAGAUGGUCUUUGAGUAGUUUAUUGGGAACGCCCAUUACAGCGUCAUGGUAUCGAUGAAUAUCAUCCGUACCUAUUGAGGAAAAUCUUGUAAGAGAUUUUUGAAUUAAAGGUGGUAACACGAUCAGUCGUCCUUUAC